This 427-nucleotide ribosomal RNA is filed under the name uncultured bacterium. RNAcentral's name for it is "bacterial SSU rRNA". It matches the Rfam family "Bacterial small subunit ribosomal RNA", at positions 355 to 774 of the family's 1533-position model. The record is from RNAcentral.
UGGGGAAUCUUCCGCAAUGGGUGAGAGCCUGACGGAGCAACGCCGCGUGAAUGAAGACGGCCUUCGGGUUGUAAAGUUCUGUCCUUGGGGAAGAACCGGUACUAGAGAUAAUGCUAGUGCUCUGACGGUACCUGAGGAGGAAGCCCUGGCUAACUACGUGCCAGCAGCCGCGGUAACACGUAGAGGGCAAGCGUUGUCCGGAAUCAUUGGGCGUAAAGGGUACGCAGGCGGAUAUGCAAGUCAAAUGUGAAAGGUACCGGCCCAACCGGUAGAGUGCAUUUGAAACUGUAUAUCUUGAGUACAGCAGAGGAGAACGGAAUUCCUGGAGUAGCGGUGGAAUGCGUAGAUAUCAGGAAGAACACCAGUGGCGAAAGCGGUUCUCUGGGCUGUAACUGACGCUGAGGUACGAAAGCUGGGGCAGCGAACG